AAUGGGCGCAAGCCUGAUCCAGCAAUGCCGCGUGAGUGAAGAAGGCCUUCGGGUUGUAAAGCUCUUUCAGUCGAGAAGAAAAGGUUGUGACUAAUAAUCAUAACUCAUGACGGUAUCGACAGAAGAAGCACCGGCUAACUACGUGCCAGCAGCCGCGGUAAUACGUAGGGUGCGAGCGUUAAUCGGAAUUACUGGGCGUAAAGGGUGCGCAGGCGGUUCUGUAAGUCAGAUGUGAAAUCCCCGGGCUUAACCUGGGAACUGCGUUUGAAACUACAGGACUAGAGUGUGGCAGAGGGGGGUGGAAUUCCAUGUGUAGCAGUGAAAUGCGUAGAGAUAUGGAAGAACAUCGAUGGCGAAGGCAGCCCCCUGGGUUAACACUGACGCUCAUGCACGAAAGCGUGGGGAGCAAA
RNAcentral lists this ribosomal RNA (410 nucleotides) under uncultured bacterium. RNAcentral describes it as "bacterial SSU rRNA". It matches the Rfam family "Bacterial small subunit ribosomal RNA", at positions 370 to 772 of the family's 1533-position model. The record is from RNAcentral.